Molecule: ribosomal RNA, 253 nt
Filed under: uncultured bacterium
Lineage: Bacteria
Description: partial 16S ribosomal RNA
Rfam family: Bacterial small subunit ribosomal RNA
Source: RNAcentral
UACGUAGGGUGCAAGUGUUAAUCGGAAUGACUGGGCGUAAAGGGUGCGCAGGCGGUUGGCUAAGACAGAUGUGAAAGCCCUGGGCUUAACCUAGGAACGGCAUUUGUGACUGGUCGACUGGAAUAUGGCAGAGGGAGGUAGAAUUCCGCAUGUAGCAGUGAAAUGCGUAGAGAUGUGGAGGAAUACCGAUGGCGAAGGCAGCCUUCUGGGCCAAUAUUGACGCUGAGGCACGAAAGCGUGGGGAGCAAACAGG